GAAUCUGCCUGGUAGUGGGGGAUAACGUUCGGAAACGAACGCUAAUACCGCAUACGUCCUACGGGAGAAAGCAGGGGACCUUCGGGCCUUGCGCUAUCAGAUGAGCCUAGGUCGGAUUAGCUAGUUGGUGAGGUAAUGGCUCACCAAGGCGACGAUCCGUAACUGGUCUGAGAGGAUGAUCAGUCACACUGGAACUGAGACACGGUCCAGACUCCUACGGGAGGCAGCAGUGGGGAAUAUUGGACAAUGGGCGAAAGCCUGAUCCAGCCAUGCCGCGUGUGUGAAGAAGGUCUUCGGAUUGUAAAGCACUUUAAGUUGGGAGGAAGGGCAAUUACCUAAUACGUGAUUGUUUUGACGUUACCGACAGAAUAAGCACCGGCUAACUCUGUGCCAGCAGCCGCGGUAAUACAGAGGGUGCAAGCGUUAAUCGGAAUUACUGGGCGUAAAGCG
RNAcentral lists this ribosomal RNA (450 nucleotides) under Pseudomonas sp. SCN1255. Its description in RNAcentral is "bacterial SSU rRNA". It matches the Rfam family "Bacterial small subunit ribosomal RNA", at positions 122 to 567 of the family's 1533-position model. The record is from RNAcentral. Lineage: Bacteria; Pseudomonadati; Pseudomonadota; Gammaproteobacteria; Pseudomonadales; Pseudomonadaceae.